RNAcentral lists this ribosomal RNA (140 nucleotides) under Kluyveromyces lactis. RNAcentral describes it as "partial 28S ribosomal RNA". It matches the Rfam family "Eukaryotic large subunit ribosomal RNA", at positions 1 to 137 of the family's 3401-position model. Lineage: Eukaryota; Fungi; Ascomycota; Saccharomycetes; Saccharomycetales; Saccharomycetaceae. The record is from RNAcentral.
GUUUGACCUCAAAUCAGGUAGGAAUACCCGCUGAACUUAAGCAUAUCAAUAAGCGGAGGAAAAGAAACCAACCGGGAUUGCCUUAGUAACGGCGAGUGAAGCGGCAAAAGCUCAAAUUUGAAAUCUGGCGUCUUCGACGU